This 669-nucleotide ribosomal RNA is filed under the name Triticum aestivum (bread wheat). Its description in RNAcentral is "partial small subunit ribosomal RNA". Lineage: Eukaryota; Viridiplantae; Streptophyta; Magnoliopsida; Poales; Poaceae. The record is from RNAcentral.
AUGCCGCGGUACAGCGCCUCCCUGUUCGCCGGCAUCCGGUGGUCCGAUCCCGUCACGCUUCCCCUGCACGUCGGCUCGGCCGCUGCCGGCGACGGCGGGGGCGCGGAGGAGGACCUGGUCGCGGGGGGCGCGCCCUCAUUGUCGAUGACUCCCUCCGCGAAGCGCACCCGCUUCUCCCCCUUCCGCCGCAGCUUCCCACCGCGCGGCCGCUUGUCUGAGGAGGAGGAGGAGGAGGAGGGGGAGAGGCAUGGACGAAGGGACGCGGGGUCGUCCGAGGCAGGGGCGUCGUCGUCGAGGCUGGGCUUGGCGAAGCGGCGGAGGGAGAAGAGGACGAGGGAGCCGGAGAGCGCCAUGGCAGUGGCCGCGGCGAGCGCGCCCAUGGACGAGGAGGAGGAGGAGGACAUGGUCGUGGUCGUGGCGGGGUGGGUGAGCGUUGAAGGCUGGCUGGCUGGCUGGCGGGUGGCUGACUUGACUCGUGGAGUCCUGGCCUGUUUCGGGUUCGGUGCAGGUUUGGUUGGAGCGCCGGGGGCGGCACUGCUGUGCUAUAUAGGGCGAGGAGGGCCGCAUGUCUGCGGGAGACGGGUCGCGGUGUUUCGGCUCGACACAACACCUCCGUUUCGAACUGUUUUCAAAAAUAAUAUCUCCGUUUCGAACUGUUUUCAAAAAUAA